RNAcentral lists this ribosomal RNA (497 nucleotides) under uncultured bacterium. Its description in RNAcentral is "partial 16S ribosomal RNA". It matches the Rfam family "Bacterial small subunit ribosomal RNA", at positions 28 to 507 of the family's 1533-position model. The record is from RNAcentral.
GAUGAACGCUGGCGGCGUGCCUAAUACAUGCAAGUCGAGCGAACAGACGAGGAGCUUGCUCCUCUGACGUUAGCGGCGGACGUGUGAGUAACACGUGGAUACCCUAUCUAUAAGAUUGGGAUUACUUCGGGAAACCGGAGCUCCUACCUGUAAUUAUUUUCAACCGUAUGGUUCAAUAAUGCCAGACGGUUUUGAUGUCCCUUCUCGAUGUAUCAGCGCCGCAUUAGCUAGUUCGCAAGGUAACGGCUUACCAAGGCAACGAUGCGUAGCCGACCUGAGAGGGUGAUCGGCCACACUGGAACGGAGACGCGGUCCAGACUACUACGGGAGGCAGCAGUAGGGAAUCGACCGCAGGGGGCGAAAUGCUGACGGGGCAACGCCGCGUGGGUUAUAAAAUUCUGCGGAUCGUGAAACUCUGUUAUUAGUGAAGAACGAAUGUGUAAGUAACGUGACACUUCUUGACGGUACCGAAUCAGAAAGCCACGGCUAACUACGUG